Molecule: small nucleolar RNA, 73 nt
Organism: Octodon degus (degu)
Lineage: Eukaryota; Metazoa; Chordata; Mammalia; Rodentia; Octodontidae
Source: Ensembl
UGUUGUGAUGAGAACGAGUAAUAGGAAGUGCCGUCAGAAGCGAUAACUGACGAUAUUUAUACCUGAUCUGAUU